Molecule: ribosomal RNA, 253 nt
Filed under: uncultured bacterium
Lineage: Bacteria
Description: partial 16S ribosomal RNA
Rfam family: Bacterial small subunit ribosomal RNA
Source: RNAcentral
UACGUAGGGGGCUAGCGUUGUCCGGAAUCAUUGGGCGUAAAGAGCGUGUAGGCGGCCCGGUAAGUCCGCUGUGAAAGUCGGGGGCUCAACCCUCGGAUGCCGGUGGAUACUGUCGGGCUCGAGUACGGAAGAGGCGAGUGGAAUUCCUGGUGUAGCGGUGAAAUGCGCAGAUAUCAGGAGGAACACCUAUUGCGAAGGCAGCUCGCUGGGACGUUACUGGCGCUGAGACGCGAAAGCGUGGGGAGCAAACAGG